This 126-nucleotide non-coding RNA is filed under the name Octodon degus (degu). Lineage: Eukaryota; Metazoa; Chordata; Mammalia; Rodentia; Octodontidae. The record is from RNAcentral.
GUAUUAUAUGAAAGGCGAGAAGGUUAGCACUCCCCUUGACAAGGAUGGAAGAGGCCCUCAGGCCUGACAACACGCAUACAGUUAAGGCAUUGCCACCUACUUUGAGGCAUCUAAUCAAAUUACUAU